GUCUUCGGAUGUGGCAUCUAACAAAAAAGAAAGCUGCACAUAGUCACUCUGUGUGUUGAGUUGUAAGUAUAUGAGAUAAAAACAUCUUUGUGGAUUAUUUUUAAAACAUGAUAAACUGCAUUACCAAACUUUAUGAUUUUACGUAUGUAAGUAUAUAUUAGAGAUCAUUUGUGCAUUAACAAUUGUAUAGGGAAGCACUAAAAGACAAAAACAUUAUAAUGAUAUUAUGGCAGUGCUUAACAAAUUCAGAAUAUUUUUAUAUGAAAAACCUAUGCUGUAAAAAAUCUGAAUCAAAAUUUUGCUUUUUGAUUGCAUGGGUUGCAACCCACAGAAAACAACAAAUAAAUUGGUCAGGAUUUUUUUAGUUUAAGAAGCAAAAAUUU
Molecule: long non-coding RNA, 383 nt
Filed under: Pan troglodytes (chimpanzee)
Lineage: Eukaryota; Metazoa; Chordata; Mammalia; Primates; Hominidae
Description: long non-coding RNA NONPTRT014841
Source: RNAcentral